GGUGGUGUCGCUUGUUCAGCGCUUCUGGCGUGCAUUCUGGCGAUACCUUGUCGUUGUGGCUGGUUGGUACGUGAUUUUGACGUACCGGCUGGUGAGGGCUCCCUUUUCGGUGAGGACAACGACAAAAUGACGCAAUACGACCCGUCUUGAAACACGGACCAAGGAGUCUAGCACGGCUGCGAGUCGAAGGGUGUAAAACCCAAGGGCGCAGUGAAAGCGAAUUUAUAAGCAAAUUGGGGAGGCGUGGAGUUUUUAACAAAAUGUCCUACCUUGAGCAUUUGUGCUGGGACCCGAAAGAUGGUGAACUAUGCCGGAGUAGGGCAAAGCCAGAGGAAACUCUGGUGGAGGCUCGUAGCGAUGCUGACGUGCAAAUCGCUCGUCGAACUUGGGUAUAGGGGCGAAAGACUAAUCGAACCAUCUAGUAGCUGGUUCCCUCCGAAGUUUCUCUCAGGAUAGCGGGCCGACAUAUGUUGUUUUGUGCGGUAAAGCGAAUGAUUAGUGCAUUUGGGGUCUGAUAGACUUCGGGCGAUUCUCAAACUUUAAAUGCGCAAGGGGGUGGCUGCUUAAUUGAGCCUACUCUUUGAAAAACGUCGGCCCUGUGGGCCACUUUUGGUAAGCAGAACUGGCGAUAAGGGAUGAACCUUAAGCGCGGUUAAGGCGCCGCAUUGCCCGCUUAUAGACCCCACAAAAGGUGUUGAUUCAUUUAGACAGCAGGACGGUGGCCAUGGAAGUCGGAAUCCGCUAAGGAGUGUGUAACAACUCACCUGCCGAAUGAAUUAGCCCUGAAAAUGGAUGGCGCUUAAGCGGGCAGCCGACACCGCGCCGUUCCGGCGAG
RNAcentral lists this ribosomal RNA (835 nucleotides) under Izziella kuroshioensis. Its description in RNAcentral is "LSU rRNA". It matches the Rfam family "Eukaryotic large subunit ribosomal RNA", at positions 437 to 1364 of the family's 3401-position model. Lineage: Eukaryota; Rhodophyta; Florideophyceae; Nemaliales; Liagoraceae. The record is from RNAcentral.